RNAcentral lists this unclassified non-coding RNA (614 nucleotides) under Zea mays. RNAcentral describes it as "misc RNA Zm00001eb290890". The record is from RNAcentral. Lineage: Eukaryota; Viridiplantae; Streptophyta; Magnoliopsida; Poales; Poaceae.
CUUUAGUAUGGAGCCACUCUCGGAGAUGGAGCCAUGGAGCUGUUCCAUCCCAAACUGGGUCUGGAACCAAACGCUACCUUACAGAAAGCAGAUUAACAUAUUAGAAAGGUAAAGAAUGCAAUGCCAGCUAUGUUCCUGUGUAUCAUAAGCUAUUAUCUACUGUACGUUCGGCUGAAUAUGAAUAAUUCAUAAAAGACAGGUCCUAGGAGUGGUAAGCCUAUAAUGUUACAGAACAAACUUGCAUAUUCACAAGUAUUACACCAUGCCUACCGGGGAGUUACUCUUCCGGAGAUCAUGCCGCUGCUCGCAUCAAGACUCCCAGAGGCCUGUGACGAGACGAAGAGGGUCCCGGUCGCUGAAGAUGACAACGACUUACUGACAUCGGUCGAGUCUGUCUCUGAGGUUUCCAGCAGAAUCAGGUCCUCUUCAGGCAUCAUCCUCAAGAUGAGCUCAAGUUCUCUGACAAUCUCCCACAUGGAAGGCCUGUCAUCAGUUUCAUGCUGGCAACACUUGGUUGCUAGUGAUAAGAACCUCUUGAUGCAUUCUGGGGGGUAUAAGCCCAUCCGGCCAUCGAUUAUUCCAGAAACUGCGCCCGACUGGCAAGCUGAGUUUAC